UAGUUACGAAGAGAGCUUUCUUCAGUCCACACAUGGGAGGUGAUAAGGUUCAAUUUGCUGCCGACUCAUUCAUCCAAAUGCUGAGGUUAGAUAGUCAAAAGCAUCUCAGUGGCUGAAUGAAUGAAGCGGGAGUACAAGUUGUGUCUUAAGCUUCCUGUGCUUGGACUGAAGGGAGCUCCCUUUUACCUGUUU
Molecule: non-coding RNA, 192 nt
Organism: Nicotiana sylvestris (wood tobacco)
Lineage: Eukaryota; Viridiplantae; Streptophyta; Magnoliopsida; Solanales; Solanaceae
Source: Rfam